RNAcentral lists this ribosomal RNA (430 nucleotides) under uncultured bacterium. Its description in RNAcentral is "bacterial SSU rRNA". It matches the Rfam family "Bacterial small subunit ribosomal RNA", at positions 355 to 776 of the family's 1533-position model. The record is from RNAcentral.
UCGAGGAUAAUUCGCAAUGGACGAAAGUCUGACGAUGCGACGCCGCGUGAAUGAUGAAGGCCUUCGGGUUGUAAAGUUCUGUCGCCCUGGAACAAGAGAUGUGUACAAAUAGUAUAUGUCAAUGAGUGUACAGGGAAAGGAAGCACUGGCUAAUUCCGUGCCAGCAGCUGCGGUAAUACGGAAGGUGCAAGCGUUAGUCGGAAUUAUUGGGCGUAAAGGGUGCGUAGGCGGCUAUAAACGUUGAUGGUGAAAUUCUGGGGCUCAACUUCAGAACUGCCUUCAAAACGGUAUGGCUUAGAGGAAUGGCGGAGAAAAUGGAAUUCCAUAUGUAGCGGUGAAAUGCGUAGAUAUAUGGAAGAACACCUGUGGCGAAAGCGGUUUUCUAGCCUUCUCCUGACGCUGAGGCACGAAAGCAAGGGGAUCAAACAGG